CUUCGGGGUGCAGCAGGCGCGAAAACUUUACAAUGCGGGAAACCGUGAUAAGGGGACACCGAGUGCCAGCAUCAUAUGCUGGCUGUCCAGGUGUGUAAAAUACACCUGUUAGCAAGGGCCGGGCAAGACCGGUGCCAGCCGCCGCGGUAACACCGGCGGCCCGAGUGGUGAUCGUGAUUAUUGGGUCUAAAGGGUCCGUAGCCGGUUUGGUCAGUCCUCCGGGAAAUCUGAUAGCUUAACUAUUAGGCUUUCGGAGGAUACUGCCAGACUUGGAACCGGGAGAGGUAAGAGGUACUACAGGGGUAGGAGUGAAAUCUUGUAAUCCCUGUGGGACCACCUGUGGCGAAGGCGUCUUACCAGAACGGGUUCGACGGUGAGGGACGAAAGCUGGGGGCACGAACCGGAUUAGAUACCCGGGUAGUCCCAGCCGUAAACGAUGCUCGCUAGGUGUCAGGCAUGGCGCGACCGUGUCUGGUGCCGCAGGGAAGCCGUGAAGCGAGCCACCUGGGAAGUACGGCCGCAAGGCUGAAACUUAAAGGAAUUGGCGGGGGAGCAC
RNAcentral lists this ribosomal RNA (556 nucleotides) under uncultured archaeon. Its description in RNAcentral is "bacterial SSU rRNA". It matches the Rfam family "Archaeal small subunit ribosomal RNA", at positions 323 to 879 of the family's 1478-position model. The record is from RNAcentral.